Molecule: long non-coding RNA, 1310 nt
Filed under: Homo sapiens (human)
Lineage: Eukaryota; Metazoa; Chordata; Mammalia; Primates; Hominidae
Description: HSALNT0114208
Source: RNAcentral
GGAGCUUCCAGAUAUUCUCAUGCAUUGUAUUUCCAGUGAACUUCUAAGGAGUCAACAGUUGACAAACCAAAAGAUCCUACCAAGACCCAAUCAAGAUCCCUCCUUUACUGCAUACAUGAAGAUCUGGAGAAAUACAUUCCCCUGAGAUUUCUUGAUCCUCUAAAUUGGGAUCGAGGGAGUGUCUCUGACCUCAAGAUUGAGGUAUGACUUGAAUUGGGUCUGAGCUCCAAUUUUGUUUUGUCAAUUCACAAACAUUAUUUUCCCAGGGAGGGACAAAGAAGCAUUUUAGGCAUUUUUUUUAAAAAAGAAACAUUUUAGGAAUUAUUAACAUUUUAAAGAAGUAUUUUAAAUAUUAGAUAAAGAUUUAGGUAUCACAUAUUAUAUAAAGAAGACUUUUAGGAAUUAUUAAGUAGAAAAUUGCCUAUUUUUCUAACAACAUGUCUUAGUGUGUUCUCACACUGCUGUAAAGAGCUUCUCUGAGACCAGGUAAUUUAUAAAGGAAAGAGGUUUAAUUGACUCACAGUUCUGCAUGGCUGGGAAGGCCUCAGGAAACUUACAAUCAUGGCAGAAAGGGAAGCAGGCACCUCCUCACCAGUGGCAGGAGAAAGAGUACAAGCAGGGGAAAUGCCAGACAUUUAUAAAACCAUCAGAUCUCAUGAGAACUCACUUACUAUCAUGAAAACAGCAUGAAAGACACUUCCCCCAUAAUCCAAUCACUUCCCUCUCUCUACACAUAGGGAUUACAAUUCAUGAUGAGAUUUGGUUGGGGACACAAAGCCUAACCAUGUCACAACAUUUUGGAUCAUCUCUGUCUUUCUGUUACAAGUCUUUAAGACGAAGCCUAUAGAGAGAGGAGGUGCAUAGGCCAAGUGCGUCCAUCCCAAGUACUGAAGAAUUUAAAAGAUCAUAUCACGAUGGCAUUAUUUGGACAUAAUUUGCAUUGGGUCAGUUUUCUAAAACCUUAUACAUAUGCUCUGAGUGGAUGUAUUAAUAGUUUAUGUAUACCUUAAUAAAAUUGAUUUAAAGUAAACAUUUAAGGACUUUCCUGUGGCUUGUCUUUGUGUCCCUAGAAUUGGUUUAUUUAGUUUUGUCUGACCUGAGUUGGAGGGUUUUUUGGGCCCUGUAUUAGUCUGUUUUCAUGCUGCUGAUAAAGACAUACCUCAGACUGGGGAAUUUACAAAAGAAAGAGGUUUAUUGGUGUUACAGUUCCACAUGGCUGGGGAGGCCUCACAGUCACGGUGGAAGGCAAGGAGAAGCAAGUCACAUCUUAUGGGAUGGAAGCAGGCAAAGAGAGCUUGUGCAGGGGGACU